UUCCACGGCAAGAGCCAGGAGGCCCCCUAGACCCGGGCUCUGCACUGGCCUGGGCAUCUUGCAGUGGGAAACACAGGCUGCUGAGAACCCACAGACUAAGCCACUGUCUCUCAGGACCUCUGUACCCUGUGCCCCAUGCCCUAUGCCCUGGCCCCCUGCUGUUUCAUGCAUUUCCUCUUCCCCUUGUUAAAUCCAGCUUCUGCCACACUGCUUGCUGCAGACCUAAGCCCCUCAUGGCUGAAUCCUGACUCACUUUUGAAAAUUGUGAAGUGAAGCCAGGUGUGGUGAUGCACGCAUAUAAUCCCAGCACUUGCAAGGCUGAGACCUGGCCAUGACCCAGCAGUGAUGUCCAAGCUGCUGUCCACAAGCCCCACAUGGGAUGGCCUGGCCCCACGAGGGCAUGGGUUCUGGCACGCUCUGCCCUGGGCCUGCCAUGGGGUUCCCUGCCAGGCAUGCAGAUUCCCAGCAGCUCAUGCAGGGCCCUGUGCCAUGUUCUGAGCAUGAGGUAUGUCUGGGGGGACCCAUAGCCCCUGGCAUUGCUGUGCCCCGGCAGCUGACCCACAGGCUGAAGAGCCAACUGAUGAACCAACUGUGACCACCAGGACCACAGCACCUUCUCCCAGCCCUGUCUUGCAGUGACAGCGCCCUCCCUGGGCCUGUGUCCCUCAACAGGAUCUGAGGUGACCUCCGGAAACUGGCCCCUCCUGUAUCCCUUCCCCUCCUGCAGGAUGCUCCACCCUGCAGCUCCUGCACCCCCUGGUGCUAGAGGUACAGGCUGGGCCAGGCGGUGGCCCUGCCACACAGGCUCAGAAGUACAAGAUGGGCAGUGCCACGUCUCCAUAACCUGCUGCCCGUGCUGAGGCACCCCCUGCCCCCGGAGAUCACGGAGGCUCAGGAGUCCCAUAGGACCGACAGACACACACAGAGGUCCUGGCUCCACCUCGCCACCCCAUCCUCUCCGUGUGGUCGCCCUGGGCCUGCGGGCCUCCGGGCAGCUGGGUGCUGGGGACGGAGUGGGGUGCUCUCCACAACGGCCCAGCCCCGCAUCUGAGCCACACAGCUGUCCCCGUGGCUCUGGAAUUGAGGAGCCAGCGACAUCCUGGCCAGGUCUCGGGCUCCAGGUCCUGGUUCCUGCUCCCGUCACUUCCUGGAAGAGGCCAGCAGGAGGGUGGUGGUGCUGGACUUGUGCCUGAAACAGGAUCUGGCCAUAAACCCGCAGGGCGAGGCUGUGGCUGCACACUGACCCCCUGUGGACUUUCCUCCCGCCUGGCCCACAGCUGUUGCCAUUCCCAGGAACUGGCACCUUGUUUGUUCCUUGAGGAGCUGCUGGCAUCGCCUGCCUGAGCCCCGUACCCAACCACCUUCUUGGCAGCGGGCACAGGCAGCUUCUCCCCCAGCUUCCCCAAGCCUGGACGGGGCCCAGCCUCGCCCUGCUCAGUGCUGGUGUGCAUGAGUGCAUCGGAAAUCUUCCACUGCAAGCACCCUGGGCCCCCCAGUCCCUCUGGGGCAGGUGUGAGCUCCAAACCCUCCGCCCCUGCACAGAUCCCACUGGCUGGCAGGUGGGCCUGGUGCCCCUGCUCAGGGAGAGACGCAUCCGAGGUGUUGGGGUGCCCAUGUGCCUCUGCGGCCGUGCAGUUUCCACCCUGCCGGGCAAGAGCGUGAGCAUCGCAUGGCCCAGGAAGCUCAGCGCGAGGCUGAGCUCAUCCGUGUUCCUGCGUGGGAGCGAGACCACCGCAUCUGCCCCGACCUUAGCAGCCGUGAGCGUCCCAGGCAAAGGCCUCCUUCGGAAGACACUCGGGCUCAUCAGGCAGCCCACGCAGGCGCCGCAGAGCCCUUCGCAGUUCCUGUGAUCCCAGUGCGCCUGGCCGGGCGUCCUCCACGGCCCUGGGAGGCCGGUGUCGAGGGAACAGCCCCCUUCCGGGCAUGGGGCCUGGCAAGAGGAGGCUCGCAGAAACGCGUGGAACGCUGCUCUGCUCGCCGGCUCUUUGGCCCUUGUUCUGCUCACGGCAGUGUCCCCUGAAAGUGCCGGCUAGGCUCGUGCGGGGGUCGAGGUCACCCCUACACAGGAGCCGACGGCCCCGACACCUGCAGCGCAGCCACCCCUCCCCUCGGCCUCCCCAGUCACAGCCGGGCCACCGCCUGCCUCUGCUCAUUACCGAGAAAGAUUUUUCUCCCUGCAGAAAUAGUCUCAUUUUUUACUGUGAUGAAAUGCACCUGGUAUAAAGCAGCCCACCUUGGCACGGAGCCCAUCCACACUGCAGCCAGCACCGCCGUGCGCCUCCAGGGCUCCCUCAGCUCUGCCCCUCAGACCCCCACCCCUCCCAGCCCCCAGCCCAUCCCGCUCUGUCUCCGG
Long non-coding RNA from Heterocephalus glaber (naked mole-rat), 2353 nucleotides. NCBI's taxonomy places the organism in Eukaryota, Metazoa, Chordata, Mammalia, Rodentia, Bathyergidae. The record is from Ensembl.